CCUGAUGCAGCGACGCCGCGUGAGGGAUGAAGGCCUAUCGGGUUGUAAACCUCUUUCAGCAGGGACGAAGCGAAAGUGACGGUACCUGCAGAAGAAGCACCGGCUAACUACGUGCCAGCAGCCGCGGUAAUACGUAGGGUGCGAGCGUUGUCCGGAAUUACUGGGCGUAAAGAGUUCGUAGGCGGUUUGUCGCGUCGUCUGUGAAAACCCAUCGCUCAACGAUGGGCCGGCAGGCGAUACGGGCAGACUUGAGUACUGCAGGGGAGACUGGAAUUCCUGGUGUAGCGGUGAAAUGCGCAGAUAUCAGGAGGAACACCGGUGGCGAAGGCGGGUCUCUGGGCAGUAACUGACGCUGAGGAACGAAAGCGUGGGUAGCAAACAGGAUUAGAUACCCUGGUAGUCCACGCCGUAAACGGUGGGCGCUAGGUGUGGGUUCCUUCCACGGGAUCUGUGCCGUAGCUAACGCAUUAAGCGCCCCGCCUGGGGAGUACGGCCGCAAGGCUAAAACUCAAAGGAAUUGACGGGGGCCCGCACAAGCGGCGGAGCAUGUGGAUUAAUUCGAUGCAACGCGAAGAACCUUACCUGGGUUUGACAUAUACUGGAAAGCUGCAGAGAUGUAGCCCCCCUUGUGGCCGG
RNAcentral lists this ribosomal RNA (636 nucleotides) under Rhodococcus sp. So2Pw_1317. Its description in RNAcentral is "bacterial SSU rRNA". It matches the Rfam family "Bacterial small subunit ribosomal RNA", at positions 382 to 1030 of the family's 1533-position model. Lineage: Bacteria; Bacillati; Actinomycetota; Actinomycetes; Mycobacteriales; Nocardiaceae. The record is from RNAcentral.